AGGGUUCGAUCCUGGUUCAGGAUGAACGCUGGCGGCGUGCUUAACACAUGCAAGUCGAACGAAGCACUUUUCUUGCUUGCAAGAAAAGUGACUGAGUGGCGGACGGGUGAGUAACGCGUGGGUAACCUGCCUUGCACUGGGGGAUAACAGUUGGAAACGGCUGCUAAUACCGCAUAUGCGCACAGUACUGCAUGGUACAGUGUGGAAAACUCCGGUGGUGCAAGAUGGACCCGCGUCUGAUUAGCUAGUUGGUGGGGUAACGGCCUACCAAGGCGACGAUCAGUAGCCGGCUUGAGAGAGUGAACGGCCACAUUGGGACUGAGACACGGCCCAA
This 334-nucleotide ribosomal RNA is filed under the name uncultured bacterium. RNAcentral describes it as "bacterial SSU rRNA". It matches the Rfam family "Bacterial small subunit ribosomal RNA", at positions 8 to 334 of the family's 1533-position model. The record is from RNAcentral.